UCAAUAGCCUAACGGCUGAACCAGCAACUUGGAAGAAUGUAAUUGUAUUAAUAUAAUUAAUACAAUUUAACGACUAAAUCGUAUAUAAUUCUAGAUAAAAUAGUGAUUAUGACAAUUUUUUAUCUAUAAGUCUUGACCAAAUUACGUGCCAGCAGUCGCGGUAAUACGUAAAAGACUAGUGUUAUUCAUCUUUAUUAGGUUUAAAGGGUACCUAGACGGAAAAUUUAGCCCUUAAAUGGUACUUAUUUUCUAGAGUUUUAUGUAAGAAGGGGAGAAUUUUUGGAGUAGAGAUGGAAAGUUAUAAUACCAAAAGGACUGAUAAAGGCGAAGGCAACCUUUUAUGUAAAAACUGACGUUGAGGGACGAAGGCUUGGGUAACGAUAAGGAUUAGAUACCCUAGUAGUCCUAGCAGAAAAUUAUGAAUGCCAUAAGUUAGAAAAUCUAGCGUGUAAAUGAAAGUGUAAGCAUUCCACCUCAAGAGUAAUGUGGCAACACAGGAACUGAAAUCAUUAGACCGUUACUAAAACCAGUAGUGAAGUAUGUUAUUUAAUUCGAUGAUCCGCGAAAAACCUUACCACAAUUUGUAUAAUAUUAAUUUAUUACAAGCGCUGCACGGCUGUCUUCAGUUAAUGUCGUGAGACUUUGGUUUGUUCCAUUAAUUAACGAAAACCCUUACUUUAUUUUUAAAAUAAACUAGUUCUCCAUUAUAUUGGAUAAGAUAAUAGGGACUAAGACAAGUCUUCAUGGCCUUAAUAUUGUGGGCUA
This 765-nucleotide ribosomal RNA is filed under the name Eurotiomycetes sp. Its description in RNAcentral is "SSU rRNA". It matches the Rfam family "Bacterial small subunit ribosomal RNA", at positions 368 to 1216 of the family's 1533-position model. Lineage: Eukaryota; Fungi; Ascomycota; Eurotiomycetes. The record is from RNAcentral.